AGAGAGCGUUUGAAAAAUUCAAAGAAUUUUUCUCCCCGCACCAGCAAGGGAUACAGACAUGCGGAAGAUAUUUUUGUUCUGCCAAUUACUUAGUGGCGGACUGGUGAGUAACGCGUGAGUAAUCUGCCUAUUACAGGGGGAUAACAGAGGGAAACUUCUGCUAAUACCGCAUAAGACCACGGGGAGGCAUCUCCAAGGGGUCAAAGGGUUACUGGUAAUAGAUGAGCUCGCGUAUCAUUAGCUAGUUGGUGAGGGUAAAGGCCUACCAAGGCGACGAUGAUUAGCCGAUCUGAGAGGAUGACCGGCCACACUGGAACUGAGAUACGGUCCAGACUCCUACGGGAGGCAGCAGUUAGGAAUAUUGGGCAAUGGAGGGAACUCUGACCCAGCAACGCCGCGUGAAGGAAGAAGGUUUUCGGACUGUAAACUUCUGAUCUAGGGGAAAAAGGAAGUGAUGGUACCCUAGGAGAAAGCCACGGCUAACUACGUGCCAGCAGCCGCGGUAAUACGUAGGUGGCGAGCGUUGUCCGGAAUGACUGGGCGUAAAGGGAGCGUAGGUUGCGAUUUAAGUUAGGUGUGAAAGCCCGUAGCUCAACUACGGAACUGCAUUUAAAACUGGGUUGCUAGAGUACAGGAGGGGUAAGCGGAAUUCCUAGUGUAGCGGUAAAAUGCAUAGAUAUUAGGAAGAACACCGGAGGCGAAGGCGGCUUACUGGACUGCAACUGACACUGAGGCUCGAAAGCGUGGGGAGCAAACAGGAUUAGAUACCCUGGUAGUCCACGCCCUAAACGAUGGAUACUAAACGUGGGAGGUAUCGACUCCUUCCGUGUUGAAGCAAACGCGAUAAGUAUCCCGCCUGAGUAGUACGGCCGCAAGGUUGAAACUCAAAGGAAUUGACGGGGACCCGCACAAGCAGCGGAGCAUGUUGUUUAAUUCGAAGCUACGCGAAGAACCUUACCAAGACUUGACAUGACCGGGCAUACCCUUGAAAGAGGGGAAGAUAUAGCAAUAUAUACCGGCCACAGAUGGUGCAUGGUUGUCGUCAGCUCGUGUCGUGAGAUGUUGGGUUAAGUCCCGCAACGAGCGCAACCCUUGCCAUUAGUUACCAGCAGUGAGAUGGGGACUCUAAUGGGACAGCCGUAGAUAAUACGGAGGAAGGUGGGGAUGAUGUCAAAUCAUCAUGCCUCUUACGUCUUGGGCUACAAACGUGCUACAAUGGGUAUAACAAAGAGAGGCGAGACCGCAAGGUGGAGCAAACCUCAAAAAGAUACUCUCAAUUCAGACUGGGGGCUGAAACUCGCCCCCACGAAGCCGAAGUUGCUAGUAAUCCCAAAUCAGAAUGUUGGGGUGAAUGCGUUCCCGGGUCUUGUACACACCGCCUGUCAAGCCAUGAGAGUUGGGGGGACCCAAAGUCGGUGAGCUAACCCGCAAGGGAGGCAGCCGCCUAAGGUAAAACCAGCGAUUGGGGUUAAGUCAUAACAAGGUAGCGGUAUCAGAAGGUGCCGCUG
Molecule: ribosomal RNA, 1508 nt
Filed under: human gut metagenome
Description: bacterial SSU rRNA
Rfam family: Bacterial small subunit ribosomal RNA
Source: RNAcentral